GUUUGAUCAUGGCUCAGGAUGAACGCUAGCGGCAGGCUUAAUACAUGCAAGUCGAGGGGCAGCACGGGUAGCAAUACCUGGUGGCGACCGGCAAACGGGUGCGGAACACGUACGCAACCUUCCCAUAACUGGUGAAUAGCCCUCCGAAAGGAGGAUUAAUACACCGUAACUUAACGAAGUGGCAUCACUUUGUUAAUAUAGGCUUCGGCCGGUUUUGGAUGGGCGUGCGCCUGAUUAGGUAGUUGGCGGGGUAACGGCCACCAAGCCUGCGAUCAGUAACUGGUGUGAGAGCACGACCAGUCACACGGGCACUGAGACACGGGCCCGACUCCUACGGGAGGCAGCAGUAAGGAAUAUUGGUCAAUGGACGAAAGUCUGAACCAGCCAUGCCGCGUGAAGGAUUAAGGCCCUCUGGGUUGUAAACUUCUUUUAUCUGGGACGAAAAAAGGGUAUUCUUACUCACUUGACGGUACCAGAGGAAUAAGCACCGGCUAACUCCGUAG
RNAcentral lists this ribosomal RNA (503 nucleotides) under uncultured bacterium. RNAcentral describes it as "bacterial SSU rRNA". It matches the Rfam family "Bacterial small subunit ribosomal RNA", at positions 11 to 508 of the family's 1533-position model. The record is from RNAcentral.